Molecule: ribosomal RNA, 440 nt
Filed under: uncultured bacterium
Lineage: Bacteria
Description: partial 16S ribosomal RNA
Rfam family: Bacterial small subunit ribosomal RNA
Source: RNAcentral
CCUACGGGAGGCAGCAGUGGGGGAUAUUGCACAAUGGGGGGAACCCUGAUGCAGCGACGCCGCGUGGGUGAAGGAGCGUUUCGGCGCGUAAAGCUCUAUCGUCAGGGAAGAAGCUGACGGUACCUGCCCAAGAAGCCCCGACUAACUACGUGCCAGCAGCCGCGGUAAUACGUAGGGGGCAAGCGUUGUCCGGAGUUACUGGGUGGAAAGGGGGCGGAGACGGCGAGGCAAGCCAGGAGUGAAAGCCCCGGGCCAAACCCCGGGACUGCUCUUGGAACUGCAUGGCGUGAGUACAGGAGGGGCAGGCGGAAUUCCGAGUGUAGCGGUGAAAUGCGUAGAGAUUAGGAGGAACACCAGUGGCGAAGGCGGACUGCUGGACUGUAACUGACGUUGAGGCGCGAAGGCGUGGGGAGCAAACAGGAUUAGAUACCCUAGUAGUC